RNAcentral lists this small RNA (691 nucleotides) under Histoplasma capsulatum var. duboisii H88. RNAcentral describes it as "Histoplasma capsulatum H88 hypothetical RNA". Lineage: Eukaryota; Fungi; Ascomycota; Eurotiomycetes; Onygenales; Ajellomycetaceae. The record is from RNAcentral.
GCAAUCCAUCCUGGAUAUCCCUUCAAGUCGCUUGAAUCCAACCCCCCUGAUUUCUGUCAAGCAAGCCGUUAUCCGUCCCGAUUCAGAGGCUCAGAACAGGUGCCCUCCUGGAAAGUUGUUUACUUGAUUUGUAACUGAAGAGAGCAAGGGCAAAAUUUUAAACGACACAUUGACAACCCAUAUACACAACAUAGCCUAAUGGCAUAUCUGGAUCCGCUGCUAGUCUGAGUUAAGUUGUGUGAUUGCUACUUAGCUGGUGAGAGGAGGGAAAAGGUGGUUUACUGGGGUUUUGCGUCUGUUAGGAUAAUAAAUAGAAUACACUGGCGUUUGCGCAGGUAGCAGGUCCAAAAGCCGUUUAUUUUCAUGACGUCCAAUACGACAUCCAUAAUACCGCUAUGUCUGUACAGAUGCUGAAUGAGCACAACAACUGCGCACCGAUUGCGUCUACAAAUCGCAGAUCUAGAUCUCUCUCACGAUCGGAAAUAUCCGCCCAACUAGCAUCUUCUCCCCUGUCUCCUCCAUUUCCGUCUUUCAUGUCUACAAUCGCUACUGCCACUACUGUUGCAGAUGGAUCAACUGGUUAUUACAAUGAGGGAAGUGAAAAAAGUCGCUUAGCGCCCAAGAUUCUCCUCGAUGCUGGAGGUUCGAUGGCGUCAACAUCAACUGAAUCAGCCUCAGCCACUUCCACCGC